This 253-nucleotide ribosomal RNA is filed under the name uncultured prokaryote. Its description in RNAcentral is "partial 16S ribosomal RNA". It matches the Rfam family "Bacterial small subunit ribosomal RNA", at positions 524 to 776 of the family's 1533-position model. The record is from RNAcentral.
GACGAAGGAUGCAAGCGUUAUCCGGAUUCAUUGGGUUUAAAGGGUGCGUAGGCGGUUUCAUAAGUCAGUGGUGAAAUACGGCAGCUCAACUGUCGAGGUGCCAUUGAUACUGUGAGACUUGAGUACAGACGAGGUAGGCGGAAUUGACGGUGUAGCGGUGAAAUGCUUAGAUAUCGUCAAGAACACCGAUAGCGAAGGCAGCUUACUAGGUUGUAACUGACGCUGAGGCACGAAAGUGUGGGGAUCAAACAGG